RNA transcript from Tachysurus fulvidraco (yellow catfish), 1513 nucleotides. It is a transcript of the gene named BCL2 modifying factor 1, with no coding region annotated. The transcript is spliced from 5 exons. Lineage: Eukaryota; Metazoa; Chordata; Actinopteri; Siluriformes; Bagridae. The record is from RefSeq and is a predicted model, not a curated record.
GUUGUCGAGAAGGAAAGAGGAUCGUACUGUCCUCCUGUCUGUACUCUGAUCCGAUCCGCUCCGCUCUACAGCACCGGUCAACCUGAUCUUUUAGACUCAGAAACAUCACGGAUCUGAACACAGGCCGAUCAGAGGUGGAGAGUGUGCAAGAUCCUGCUCAUGGAUGAGGAUGAGGAUGAUGUGUUUGGGCCUGUCUCACAGUGCUGGCCUUCCUCCAACAGGGAAGACCACAGUACACAGACCCCAGGGCGCUCCGCGACACGGCUGAAUGGCAUGCUGCCCUGCGGUGUAGCAGAGGAGCCCAGUCGCCUCUUCUAUGGUAGUGCAGGAUUUCUAUUGCUGACGCCGCCUGCUCGUUCUGACAGUGUCCAAGACGCCAUGUUUCCUGAAAAUCAGCCUCUCCGACGGCCUGCGCACAGCGUAGAGGCUCAGAUCGGCCAGAAACUCCAGAUAAUUGGAGACCAGUUCUACCAAGAGCACAUGCUGGAUGCUCUACUCUCCUGUAACAGACCCGGUGUUCUUCUCUAACUGACACCGUCUGUGAAAAGGAGGACAGACUCUACUCUUAGACUGAUGUGGGACAUGAGGAAGAAACGUGUUUUUUUGGGGUUGUAUUGCCCCACAACUUUCUUUUGGUCUGCAGCAGUCUGUGUCAACACCGAAACCAAAGGAACCAAUGGCCGUUUUGGUUGCGUUUGGCCUCAGCGCUGUACGCUCUCCUAUUCGAAGACGAGCCAGCGGUUAGGAGGAGACGGGAGGAUCGCAGGUGAGACGGCAGCCACGAUGAGAUCCGCCGCGCCUGCUUAAUGGCACUGUUCUACUUUCAACACGGGUUUAUAGGGGGAGAAGAUGAUAAGGAAGACUGUCUCUGCUGGACGGGGACCUCCUUUUUCUCCCCCCAAAAGAAGAUGCCAUGGUGUUUUGAGAUUAUUUUCAUACAAGACUUUGAGGUAUUUUGUAAAAUAUUUUGUCUUUGAAAUUCGCUUGCACUUCCGUAUGUGUACAUUAGCAAACUUUCGUCCUGGGAAUUCCUUAUCGUCUCCAGCCACUGCAGAAAGACUGUUGAAUACAGAAUGUGGACUGAAGAGAAGAAAAGGUUGUUUUUGUUUGUUUGUUUGUUUGUUUGUUUGUUUUUUGUUUGUUUUUCUUCUCCCAAAAUCUUCCAGGACUCCAAUCAGCUUGUCUAAUCUCCAAAGAGAUUUUCGUAUGUCUGCCUUGCAUAAAUGAUAGGAUUUUUUUUAACUCCCCUCCCCCCACACCCCCACACACACACCUACACACACACACACACACACACGUUCACAUCAAUUACCAUGAAUAGGAAGUCGGCAGGCCUCUACUACUUGAAUUUGGGGUGUCUGUUGAUGAGCUUGUCAAUAAUCAGCAAGCGAAAUCAACAAAUAGUUCGAUGCCUAGAGGCAACACGUGUCAUCAUCUCCAUUUAAGCCUGAAGAACAAGAGCACAGUGCCUAUUAUGAAACAAACAUCUUUAAAAAAAAAAAAAAACCACAAA